UCAAGCGAACAAGGGCGCAGGGCGAAUGCCUUGGCACUGGGAGCCGAUGAAAGACGUGAUAAGCUGCGAUAAGCUUCGGGGAGCUGCAAAUAAGCAUUGAUCCGGAGAUUUCUGAAUGAGGAAACUCACCUGGGUUCAUACUCAGGUACGUUAUACUGAACUUAAAAAUAGGUAUAUCGAGGGAACCGCCUGAACUGAAACAUCUAAGUAGGGCGAGGAAGAGACAUCAAACGAGAUUCCGUAAGUAGUGGCGAGCGAACGCGGAAGAGGGCAAACCGGGAGUAGAAAUACUUCCGGGGUACGGACCGCAUUUAGGACUUGAGUUGUUAACCGAACGGCAUGGGAAGGCCGGUCAGAGAGUGUGAGAACCACGUAGGUGAAAACGGAGAGAGCUGCGCAGGAUCCAGAGUACGGCCAGACACGUGAAACCUGGUCGGAAUAUGGGGGGACCACCCUCCAACCCUAAAUACUACCCAGUGACCGAUAGCGUAUAGUACUGUGAAGGAAAGGUGAAAAGCACCCCGGGAGGGGAGUGAAAAAGAACCUGAAACCCUGUGCCUACAAGCACCUAGAGCACGUCAAUGUGUGAUAGGGUACUUUUUGUAGAACGGUCCGGCGAGCGAUUGUAUGCAGCAAGGUUAAGGACUUAAGGUCUGGAGCCGAAGCGAAAGCGAGUUUGAAAAGGGCGUUAAGUUGCAUACAAUGGGCCCGAAACCGGGUGACCUACCCAUGGUCAGGUUGAAGUGGAAGUAAAAUUCCAUGGAGGACCGAACCGACCUCCGUUGAAAAGGCGGCGGAUGAACUGUGGGUAGCGGAGAAAUUCCAAUCGAACCCGGAGAUAGCUGGUUCUCCCCGAAAUAGUUUUAGGACUAGCCUCAAGUUAGAUACCUGGAGGUAAAGCACUGAAUAGCCUAGCGGCCGAGAGGUUAGCGAAGCUUAUCAAACUCAGAAUGCCAGAGUAUUGAUGCUUGGGAGUCAGACAGUGUCAGAUAAAUGUCAUUGUCAAAAGGGAAACAGCCCAGAUCUACAGCUAAGGUCCCAAAGUCAGGUUAAGUGGAAAACGAUGUGAAGAUACGUAGACAACCAGGAUGUUGGCUCAGAAGCAGCCACACAUUCAAAGAGUGCGUAAUAGCUCACUGGUCGAGCGUCUUUGCGCGGAGAAUUUAACGGGGCUAAACCUGACACCGAAGCUUAGGCAAUACAGCAAUGUAUUGGGUAGGGGAGCGUUGUAUACGCGGUGAAACAGUAGCGCAAGCGGCUGUGGAGUGUAUAGAAGUGAGAAUGCCGGAAUGAGUAGCGCGAAUGCAGUGAGAAUCUGCAUGGCCGAAAGCCUCAGGUUUCUGGAGGAAGGUUCGUCCGCUCCAGGUUAGUCGGGAGCUAAGGUGAGGCCUAACGGCGUAGCCGAUGCACAGACGGUAGAGAUUCCGUCACCACCAAAAGAGUUAAACACAGGGACACAUUUGAAGUCUCGGAGCCGGGUGUUGGUUCCGGUAGCGAUCGAGGGAAAUUAGUACCGAAGUCCGGGAUGGAAGAUGGCGAGAAAAGCUGUGUGUAUUUCUGCGGUGCCCGUACCGCAAACCGACACAGGUAGGUAGGAAGAAGAUUCUAAGGCCAACGGGAGAAGGGUUGUUAAGGAACUCGGCAAAUUGACCCCGUAACUUCGGGAGAAGGGGUGCUCCAGAGAUGGAGCCGCAGAGAAUCGGCCCAAGCAACUGUUUACCAAAAACACAGGUUUGUGCUAAAUCGAAAGAUGACGUAUACGAGCUGACGCCUGCCCGGUGCUGGAAGGUUAAGAGGAGAUGUGCAAGCAUUGAAUCGAAGCCCCAGUGAACGGCGGCCGUAACUAUAACGGUCCUAAGGUAGCGAAAUUCCUUGUCAGGUAAG
Molecule: ribosomal RNA, 1884 nt
Filed under: metagenome
Description: bacterial LSU rRNA
Rfam family: Bacterial large subunit ribosomal RNA
Source: RNAcentral